This 497-nucleotide ribosomal RNA is filed under the name uncultured bacterium. RNAcentral's name for it is "partial 16S ribosomal RNA". It matches the Rfam family "Bacterial small subunit ribosomal RNA", at positions 28 to 507 of the family's 1533-position model. The record is from RNAcentral.
GACGAACGCUGGCGGCGUGCCUAAUACAUGCAAGUCGAACGCUGAAGAGAGGAGCUUGCUCUUCUUGGAUGAGUUGCGAACGGGUGAGUAACGCGUAGGUAACCUGCCUUGUAGCGGGGGAUAACUAUUGGAAACGAUAGCUAAUACCGCAUAACAAUGGAUGACACAUGUCAUUUAUUUGAAAGGGGCAAUUGCUCCACUACAAGAUGGACCUGCGUUGUAUUAGCUAGUAGGUGAGGUAAUGGCUCACCUAGGCGACGAUACAUAGCCGACCUGAGAGGGUGAUCGGCCACACUGGGACUGAGACACGGCCCAGACUCCUACGGGAGGCAGCAGUAGGGAAUCUUCGGCAAUGGGGGCAACCCUGACCGAGCAACGCCGCGGGAGUGAAGAAGGUUGUCGGAUCGUAAAGCUCUGUUGUAAGUCAAGAACGGGUGUGAGAGUGGAAAGUUCACACUGUGACGGUAGCUUACCAGAAAGGGACGGCUAACUACGUG